CUACGGAGGGUGCAAGCGUUACUCGGAAUCACUGGGCGUAAAGGAUGCGUAGGCGGAUAAUCAAGUCAAAAGUGAGAUCCCACGGCUUAACCGUGGAACUGCUUUCGAAACUGGUUAUCUAGAAUAUGGAAGAGGCAGAUGGAAUUAGUGGUGUAGGGGUAAAAUCCGUAGAGAUCACUAGGAAUACCGAUUGCGAAGGCGAUCUGCUGGGACAUUAUUGACGCUGAGGCAUGAAAGCGUGGGGAGCAAACAGGAUUAGAAACCCCAGUAGUCC
Molecule: ribosomal RNA, 274 nt
Filed under: uncultured bacterium
Lineage: Bacteria
Description: partial 16S ribosomal RNA
Rfam family: Bacterial small subunit ribosomal RNA
Source: RNAcentral